CCUACGGGAGGCAGCAGUAAGGAAUAUUGGUCAAUGGACGCAAGUCUGAACCAGCCAUGCCGCGUGAAGGAUGAAAGCCCUCUGGGUUGUAAACUUCUUUUAUAGGGGACGAAAAAAGGGAAUUCUUUCCCGUCUGACGGUACCCUAGGAAUAAGCACCGGCUAACUCCGUGCCAGCAGCCGCGGUAAUACGGAGGGUGCAAGCGUUAUCCGGAUUCACUGGGUUUAAAGGGAGCGUAGGUGGGCAGGUAAGUCAGUGGUGAAAUCUCCGGGCUUAACCCGGAAACUGCCAUUGAUACUAUCUGUCUUGAAUAUCCUGGAGGUGAGCGGAAUAUGUCAUGUAGCGGUGAAAUGCUUAGAUAUGACAUAGAACACCAAUUGCGAAGGCAGCUCACUACGGGAUUAUUGACACUGAGGCUCGAAAGCGUGGGGAUCAAACAGGAUUAGAUACCCUGGUAGUCCACGCCCUAAACGAUGGAUACUCGACAUUAGCGAUACACUGUUAGUGUCUGNGNGAAGANAUAGUAUCCACCUGGAGACGACGCAGUAGAACGACGAAGAAGUAGAGNGNGAGAGNGCGAGACGACGACGAGGAGGAG
RNAcentral lists this ribosomal RNA (598 nucleotides) under uncultured bacterium. RNAcentral describes it as "bacterial SSU rRNA". The stretch from base 1 to 532 matches the Rfam family "Bacterial small subunit ribosomal RNA", at positions 338 to 873 of the family's 1533-position model. The record is from RNAcentral.